CUUUAAUGUGUCUUGCUUUUUUUGAAGCCAUGAGAACACCGUCUGUCCAUUAGAAAACCAAAGUAAUAAGAUUUUAUGGUUUGGCUACUAAGUCAACAUGGUUAGCUAAACUUUGGCUUAUGGAGUUCUGCUAUUUUUAUGGUACAGUUAAAUAUAAGAGACUUAGCCUGAGGAUGGGCUAAUAAACUAGAAAUAUUUUCCCUCCAGUUCACCCCCAUCAGUCUUAAUAGUUUAUUGCUUUUCUCUGCUCAGUUUUGGUCCAUGUGAAAGUAGUGAAAACCUGUUCAGUCCUUGCACUGUUGUAAGACUGAUUCCUGUGAAGAAACAGGCUGCUAAAAAGAGAACUGGUGAGCUCAAAGAAAGAUACCCACUUCUACCAUGUUCUAGGAAGACCUCUAUGUCAACAGUACAAAUAUAAGCAUGAUGCCAGAUGUUCUGAAAAUUUCCUUGGGUCCCUCUUUCUGAGAGUUCGGGAGUGAAAGGAGCUGAUUUGGUUUAAAGGUUCUCUGAAGAUUAAUAUUAUCCCUCAUUUGCAGAACCAUUAAAAACUUGUAAUCAAGCAAAUGAGAACGUAAAUCUGUACAUUUUGGACAGAUUUUCUACAAUCAUUCCCAAACAUAAUUUUUUAAGUGAUAGGAUCACAUUUCAUCUGAAUAUCAAGAAGUUGAAAUCUACAGCUGAAUGCAUCUCUUGUCAGAUAGUCCAUAUCUGAGAAAGGAGAUGAGAAGUAGCUUCUUGUGGAUUGCAGAUUGCAGAGUACUAACCCCAUAAGCAGAUUGCAGAGUACUUACUGAAAGAUUCAAGUUAAUGUUGACAGAAAUGAGAAAACCCAAGACAACCUACAUGAAUGAAACGUGAACUGAAAUAAAUAUUAACAGUGAUAUCAUCAAUAGGAAUCAAGCUUCUCCAGGAAGGAUACUCCAACAAACUAGAUUUCAUAUCACUUCUGACACUUGAUGUACUGCCUCCAAAAGGCAGUAUUCAUGGAAAUACAAGCUAUCUUUCUUACCAUGGGAAUGUUCCCUAAGUAUCUGCAUCAAUAUCUGUAAACUUUUGAGACCUGGAGAAAUAAAUACAGCAGUGUUGUAUUCUGACUUCUGCUUCAGUGAAGAUCUAACUGAAUUUCUUGAGGAGAUGAUUUUUAUGGACUACCAAAGGAGGCAGGCAUCCUGAAAUUACCUUAAGUCUUACAGAACAAUUGGGUGAUGCAAGUACAUUUAAGCAGUAUGUACUGUUGUAUGUAUUGAUGUAAUUCCAGGGCAGUCAAUUGAAUAAUUUAUCCUAGGGAAAAGUAAGACAGCAAUUUUUUCCACCUCCUCAUCCUGGAUACUCCUGUCAUAGUCACUAAACUGAGACUUGUGGUUACAGUGACAGAGGGGGAAAAAGUGCUGUACUUUCAAGGAUCAAAUUUCUGUUGAUGUCACUGAAACAAGGACAGUUUCAUUCACUGGAAGACUAUAAGAUUUUUCCUCUAUGUUAUAGGUAAAUAUGAGGUGCUCCAAAAGUAAUGCCUCCUAUUUUGUUAUGUUGUCCUGUGACAUCAAAAUGGGUGUUGGUGGCAUGGCAGUAGGGGUUGAACCUUCCCACCAAUAUUUCAUUAUUUUUUGUUGUCGUGAGACAGAUGGCAGCUGAAAAUUUGCUCUAUCAAAUAGUGUUAUUGUGCUUUUUUUGUGUGUGUAUAGUUACCAUGGUAAUAAAUAGAAAGCAUUACUUUUGGAGCAUCCUACGUAGAUUCUUCUGUUUUGGUUCUGGAUAUCCUUAUUUUUUGCUAGCAUGAUAUCUGCUCUGUGUUAGAAUCAAAGAACCACAGAAUCACCACAGUUGGAAAAGACCUCCAAGAACAUUCAGUCCAACCAUCCACCUACCAACCAUAGCUGCCCACUAAACCAUGUCCCUUAGUACAGCAUCUAAACAUGCGAUGGUAGUCCCAUAUAGAAGGGACUACCUCUCUUUUAUCUCAUAGGCACUAUGUCAACAUAACCUUCAGGAAAAUAACAAUAACUUUCUUAUCCCAAAUUCUAAUUACAAAAUGUAAUGACUGUAGGUGGAUAACGAUGGCUAAACAGGGACCAAUAUACAACACCGAGGAAACAGUAUUUUGAAAUGAGAAAUUAGUCUUCUGCUAUGAGGAAAAUAAAUCAGUCAUUCUAUAUUCAAUAUGGGAACUUCUGAGAACUUGAUCUUUGCUUUUCUAUAGCAAAGAAGAAAAAUGCACUGAAAUUUCAGUCUGCUUUUAUUUUCUAUGUUUUUGAGCAAAAAAAAAAAAAAAAAUUGGAACGUGAACCACUGAGUCUCAUACCACUGUCUUGGUAUGUUGUGGUUAUGGCAUGUGGGUUAUUUUUUUCUGAAAAUGAUAUAAAAUACUUGAUGUUCCUCUGUAUUUUAUUCUGAAUAAUCUUUUCUGAAUGGAACUUUGUCCUAAUACAAGUGCCACUAAAAUAAAGGUUAACCUCACUGACUGUAUCUAACUUCAGUGGAAAAGUUUUUAUAAAUUACCUUAUUGUUUCACAGGCCUUGGAGAGUGCUGUUGUGGAUGGCAAUGAGUGUGACUCAUCUGGCUAUAGAGCUGGAAAUGGAAAUGUAAUAUUAAAGAAAAUAAAUAACAAGACUGAAAAGAGAAUUAAAUGAGGAAAUGAGGCAUGAAUGCGUGAGACAGAGGUUAGUCUACUGCAUUUCUACCCUGGUUGUUUGUUUGUUUUGCCUUACCUGAUGUUCCAGGCAGCAUUAUACAGCAACUUUGCCCCACAUUCUUCCCUCCCUUCCUUUCUCGGGACUGUUUGCCCUUACUGUGUUCUGCCUGCUUCGCUGGAGGACUGUGUCUGUAUCGUGGCUGCAUUCAUUCAAGCUGGAAAUCAGAAGAAGGUAAAUACUGAAGAGACACUGCAGGAAACUGUCUUUCCAAGGAGCUGAACUUUCUGCUCACUCAUUGCUCAUGGAGAGCUCUGCUGACUCCUAUCACAACCCCCACUGGCAGCUGUUCCCCAGAGGUAACCAAACAGGCGCAGCUCGGGAAAUUCCUAUAAUUGAAUUAUUUUUCAGGUGCUGAAAACAUUCAUUUUAUUGCCAAAGUUCUUACGGAAAAGAAGAGAAAGUAAUAUAGAGAAAAAGAGCUUGAAGAAGAGGGACUGAAUUUUACUCUCAGAGUUAAUGCUAACAUGUAAUCAAAAAUGUUCAUAGUAGUCAAUCACAUUGCAACCUUUCCCACGUCUUAAAAAUGUACUUGAUUAUUUACCAGAGGAACAUAGUAAUUUUCAUGAUGUACUACUGUUUUAUGAUGUUACAUUAGCAAAUCAAACAGUAGGCCAGGGGAUGCAGGUGUCUUUCAAUUGUUGACAUUCUUUCACAAUUAGUACCACAACAAACAAUGAUAUGCAGAGUUAAAAAACACUCAUGAUUUCCUGCAGGUGAUAUUUAUUUAUCAAGAUACUAAUUUAGGUAUGAUUUUGGUGGCAUGAAUACCUCAGCUGCCUGACACAACAUGACUGUAUUAAUAAAGGAUUUGAAACAUAAGUUAUGUUUUCACAGUAUCAAAUCUGUACAGAAUCAGGAAAAAUAAAAAGUAAUUACACUCAAGAAACUCCAAAUAGUAGUGUGAUAUUCCAGUAAUCUCUUUCUCUCUGAGAAUCGCAUGUCAUAAAUAUGUCCUCAGUCAUCAGAGAAAAAUCAUUUUUUCUCUUCUCCCCUCUACUGCUGCUCAUAAAACAGAGGAGCUGUGCCUCUGUAAUUAGCUUGGAAAGUAGCUCCUCCUCUUCCUCCCAACACAUACUUUGGCUUGAGAACAAUAGCGUCAUAUUUUUAGCAAAAUUAAGCAAAAGGCGCUUGCCUCUCAGUGGCAUAAGUGAGAAUUUAGAUGAUCAAGCCUAAAAACACUGGUUAGCGACAUUAACUCCUGGAAGCAUUUAUAAUCACAGGGCUUGAAGUUCAUGAGAUCCCCACUGUGGUGUGGUUUGCAGCAAAUCUGAAAGGAAAUAAACAUAUUCCUCUGUUUGUUCCUGUCUUUGUAAAGGCAUUUUGUAGACUUGUUGGAGAAAAUACAAAAACUAGAAUAAAUAUCUAAGAUGCUCACUGUCCUGAUCAAUAGCUAUUAUACUAUUUUUAAAUAAAUGGAUAGACUGCACUCUCAAUCUCUGGCAAAUGGAAGUUGUAUACACUUACCUUUAAAUUUAACUACACUUGAAUAUGUAGUUUUUUGGACAAAGUGAAAAAGUCAGGAAUCUAAUAAGGAAAUUAUUUUAAAAAGAGGUUUUUGAUUUCAAUUAAAAUAUUGUUUAUGUUCCAAAAUUUGAUACUGAAAAUCUGUCACAAACAAAUCUGACAGUUCUAGAUUUCUGCUAUAGAUUAAUAUAUAUACGUUUAGAAAAUUUCUGAAACAGAACAUGGUCUUUGUCCCUUCAACUUGCCUAAUGAAAGCAAAGUUUUCCUUUGGUUCCUAAAAAUUGAAAUCAGUGCUGUUGAAUUUCAAACAUACUAGUACUGUAUGUAAACAUUGUUUCAAUACACACUCAAACCUGUUUGUACAUAAAUAAGAGAACAAUAUUUUUUUUCUCAAGUAAGAUUAUUUUAAUGGAUCAAAGAGCUUUGUUAAUAUAAUUCUGAUUAUUUCAGAAUUUAUUUCAAAUGGUUUCUUUUUAACACACUUGGAAAUACAUCAGAAAUGCUCACUUUAAUUAAUAAAACUAUUUAAAACUAGUAUGAAAAAGUAAACAGUCUUCUGCCUCUGUUUUAUAAAUGGCAAUUAAAGUAAUGUAGAAUAGAAAUUCAGUAUCUAGAUUACAAUAUACAAAAAAGUUAUUUUAAUUGAUGGUAUUACUUGCAAACGGUGUAAUUAGGACUUGAUCUGUGUUUCCAUUAAAUGAAGCUUACAUGUGGUAUAUUCAUAACAUUUCAUUUAAAAAAUAAUAAUAAAAAUCUGGAGUUGCA
RNAcentral lists this long non-coding RNA (4920 nucleotides) under Gallus gallus (chicken). The record is from RNAcentral. Lineage: Eukaryota; Metazoa; Chordata; Aves; Galliformes; Phasianidae.